CGGAGUGUAGCUCAGCCUGGUAGAGCACUGCUUUCGGGAGGCAGGGGCCGGAGGUUCGAAUCCUCUCACUCCGA
This 74-nucleotide transfer RNA is filed under the name Allostella humosa. RNAcentral describes it as "Stella humosa tRNA". It matches the Rfam family "tRNA". Rfam says of the family: Transfer RNA (tRNA) molecules are approximately 80 nucleotides in length. Their secondary structure includes four short double-helical elements and three loops (D, anti-codon, and T loops). Further hydrogen bonds mediate the characteristic L-shaped molecular structure. tRNAs have two regions of fundamental functional importance: the anti-codon, which is responsible for specific mRNA codon recognition, and the 3' end, to which the tRNAs corresponding amino acid is attached (by aminoacyl-tRNA synthetases). tRNAs cope with the degeneracy of the genetic code in two manners: having more than one tRNA (with a specific anti-codon) for a particular amino acid; and 'wobble' base-pairing, i.e. permitting non-standard base-pairing at the 3rd anti-codon position. The record is from Rfam by way of RNAcentral. RNAcentral also lists the same sequence under 2 other names. Lineage: Bacteria; Pseudomonadati; Pseudomonadota; Alphaproteobacteria; Rhodospirillales; Allostellaceae.